CCGAAGCCAUUUUGGCUCAAG
RNAcentral lists this small RNA (21 nucleotides) under Karenia brevis. Its description in RNAcentral is "trans-spliced leader sequence SL". The record is from RNAcentral. Lineage: Eukaryota; Dinophyceae; Gymnodiniales; Kareniaceae.